AAUGGCUGCAGUAAUUUGACUGUACAAAGGUAGCAUAAUCAUUAGUUUUUUAAUUAAAAGCUUGUAUGAAAGGUUGGACGAAAUAAAAUCUGUCUCUUUUUAAUAAAAAUUAGAAUUUAAUAUUUAAGUUAAAAAGCUUAAAUUUUUAUAAAAGACGAGAAGACCCUAUAGAGUUUUAUAUUUUUAAUUUAAUAAUUAAUUUAGAUUUAUUAAUUUUAUUUUAUUAAAAUUAUUUUAUUGGGGUAAUAGAAAGAUUAAAAAAAUUCUUUUUUUAAUAAAUCAUUAAUAUAUGAAAAUUUAUGAUCCAUAAAAUUGUGAAUAUAAGAUUAAAUUACCUUAGGGAUAACAGCGUAAUUUUUUUUUAGAGUUCUUAUCGAUAAAAAAGUUUGCGACCUCGAUGUUGGAUUAAAGAUUAGUUUAGGUGUAGAAGUUUAAAUUUUUGGUCUGUUCGACCAUUAAAUCUUUACAUGAUCUGAGUUCAAACCGGUGUAAGCCAGGUUGGUUUCUAUCUUUAUAGUAUUUUUAUAUUUUAGUACGAAAGGACCAAAUAUAAUGUAUAUGAAUAUUUAUUUUAAUGAAUAU
Molecule: ribosomal RNA, 582 nt
Filed under: Trechus tenuilimbatus
Lineage: Eukaryota; Metazoa; Arthropoda; Insecta; Coleoptera; Carabidae
Description: partial 16S ribosomal RNA
Rfam family: Bacterial large subunit ribosomal RNA (bases 342-500)
Source: RNAcentral